GGUCACGUGACCAAGAGCUGCCUAGAGCAGAAGUCCUGCUAGUCGCCUCCAUCUGGGUACCAGCCCCUAUUACUCUGCAGGCGUGUGGAGGAAGAAGGAAACUAGUCCCGGACCGCGAGGUCGGUAGGAGCCUGGGCUCUGCUUAGAGGCGGCGGGGGUAGGAGAGGGCCAAGGGCGUCACGAAUUCAGGUUCGAGCUGAUCCGGGUUGUGUCCCCUUCUCAUCUACUUUCUAAAUGCCGGCGCCCCCCUCCCUCGUGCCCAUUUAGUAGAGAGAACUGGUGGACUUUGGGCGGGUGGUUAGAGGAGUGAAUGGCGGUUCCAGAGACUCCGAAGAAAGGUGCCACAAUUAGGGCACUCGUGUCCCGAGCGCUGCUCCGUCCACCAAACACUCCGUCCCCUGGGUUCCCUGUCUGUUUGCAGGUUUGUAGGUCUGUUGGCCCAUAGGACGCCUCAAAAGUCGUCCUGAGGGAAGGAGCAAACUGCCUUGGGACCCUGCAGGUCGGUCUGAGGGUGGGAUGAGCCCUGGACCCUGGGUGGGGGUUGGUGAUGGGGGUGGCGGAGGAGGAAGGGCUGGGAACUGCGCGGGCCUGGUCGAGUCGCCCUCUCCUGGCCCCUUCUUUCUCCACACCCCCUCCCAUCUCAGUGCAGGGAAAGGGGUGUGGCGGCCUUUGCUGGGGAAAUGGCGGAUGAUAUGGGGGGAAAGGGGGAAACCCCCGUUAGAAAAGUCAGAAGGGUAUGAAAAAUAUUUUAAAGUCAAAGGCUGAAAAUUCAGAAAAGCAGGUAUUAGGACCUGUGUUCUCAGUGCUGAUCCAUCCAACCACACUUUCAGUUUUUCAAAGCCGGCUCUCUGUCUUUCCAUCUGUCCUUCUGCCAGACUGUCCAUCAAUCUCUGUGGAAGGAGCACUGACAACCGAAGACAAGGGAAGAAGAAGGAAUUUACCUGACUUUGGUAGAGAUUCAUCACAAGAGAGCUACAGGAACCUGAGAGAGGCUGAAGAGGACUACACUCCACCAUUACUCACCCUGGCCUUAGCAUCCUCUUCAAUCAGGUGGAACAAGUCCCUCUCCCAUCCUACCCAA
RNAcentral lists this long non-coding RNA (1081 nucleotides) under Lynx canadensis (Canada lynx). RNAcentral describes it as "lncRNA (ENSLCNG00005018672.1)". Lineage: Eukaryota; Metazoa; Chordata; Mammalia; Carnivora; Felidae. The record is from RNAcentral.